AUCUGUGACGGGAAUUAUUUACA
This 23-nucleotide small nuclear RNA is filed under the name Arabidopsis thaliana (thale cress). RNAcentral's name for it is "snRNA_11471". Lineage: Eukaryota; Viridiplantae; Streptophyta; Magnoliopsida; Brassicales; Brassicaceae. The record is from RNAcentral.